This is a long non-coding RNA of Chroicocephalus ridibundus (black-headed gull), 633 nucleotides long. RefSeq lists it as uncharacterized. NCBI's taxonomy places the organism in Eukaryota, Metazoa, Chordata, Aves, Charadriiformes, Laridae. The record is from RefSeq and is a predicted model, not a curated record. The transcript is spliced from 4 exons.
UUCCUUGCCUUAUACAACUGGAAUAAACCCACUCCAAUUGUCUUCAGGCCAGUUACAUUCUCCAAAAGCAGCGCAUGGCUUUCCUCUGCUUCGCGGUAUCUGGUGUGAGGGGUUGAAGAUUCAAAGAGAAGCUGUAGCAGAGCAGUGAGAGAUGGGGCACGCCUACUGAAAUCACUCAACCAAUUGAAGAAACAGAAUGAGAUUUGGAUUAUAGGGUUUCAGAUAAUACCAAGUCCCUUGUGAAAGCUCUUUGACUCUUGAUGACUUGAGUCCAAGUCCCAAACGGACUUCUGAUCAGCAGGGUAGCUGAUUUCAGCAUAACGAGAGAGAGAAAAUGUGUAAACUUGGUGAAGUGCUCCACAAGCUCCAGCUUGCAAACCUCACGGAGACUGCAGCCCAUCCAGCUCACAGACUCUCACCUAAUACAACAUGCGCUGAGGAAACUAAGGCACAGAAAUGUGCUGCCUGAUUUGUCUUUAUGAAAAAUCCAAAGGAGAGCAAAUUAGUAUGUGAAAAAUUUUGAAUUUCUAGCAUUUCCAAGGUCCUUUCACUUGUCAUGGAUGCAGCUUUGAAAGAAACAUAAUGGACAAAAGGCAUGCCUUUUUAAGCUGUAAGACCUUUAAAAUUUCUGUA